GAGUUUGAUCAUGGCUCAGGAUGAACGCUGGCGGCAUGCCUAAGACAUGCAAGUCGAACGAAGUGGUCCAAUGAAAGUAGAGUGCUUGCACAAAGCCGGAUUUGGGUUUCCACUUAGUGGCAGACGGGUGAGUAACACGUGGGUAAUCUACCCCAAAGACUGGGACAACAGUUGGAAACGACUGCUAAUACCGGAUAAUUCAUAUUUAGAAAACUAGAUAUGCUAAAAGGAGCCUUUAAAGCUUCACUUUGGGAUGAGCUUGCGGCGCAUUAGAUAGUUGGUGGGGUAAUGGCCUACCAAGUCAACGAUGCGUAUCCGAGCUGAGAGGCUGAUCGGACACAUUGGGACUGAGACACGGCCCAAACUCCUACGGGAGACAGCAGUUAGGAAUAUUCGUCAAUGGGGGAAACCCUGAACGAGCAAUGCCGCGUGAGUGAUGAAGGUCUUAUUGAUCGUAAAACUCUGUUGUAAGAGACGAAACCACAGUAUAGGAAAUGAUACUGUGCUGACGGUAUCUUACCAGAAAGCCCCGGCUAACUACGUGCCAGCAGCCGCGGUAC
This 560-nucleotide ribosomal RNA is filed under the name uncultured bacterium. RNAcentral's name for it is "bacterial SSU rRNA". It matches the Rfam family "Bacterial small subunit ribosomal RNA", at positions 9 to 523 of the family's 1533-position model. The record is from RNAcentral.